This 433-nucleotide ribosomal RNA is filed under the name uncultured bacterium. RNAcentral describes it as "partial 16S ribosomal RNA". It matches the Rfam family "Bacterial small subunit ribosomal RNA", at positions 29 to 507 of the family's 1533-position model. The record is from RNAcentral.
AACGAACGCUGGCGGCAUGCCUAACACAUGCAAGUCGAACGAGAGCUUCGGAUCUAGUGGCGCGCGGGUGCGUAACGCGGGGGAAUCUGCCCCUUGCUUCGGAAUAUCAGGUAGGAAUUACUGCGACUACCGCAUGAUGUCUUCGGACCACAGAUUUAUCGGCAAGGGAUGAGCCCGCGUAGGAUUGGGUAGUUGGUGGGGUAAUGGCCUACCAAGCCGACGAUCCUUAGCUGGUCUGAGAGGAUGAUCAGCCACACUGGGACUGAGACACGGCCCAGACUCUUACGGGAGGCAGCAGUGGGUAAUAUUGGACAAUGGGCGAAAGCCUGAUCCAGCAAUGCCGCGUGAGUGAUGAAGGCCUUAGGGUUGUAAAGCUCUUUUACAAGGGAUGAUAAUGACAGUACCUGGAGAAUAAGCUCCGGCUAACUCCGUG